AGAUUGAACGCUAGCGGCAUGCCUAACACAUGCAAGUCGAACGGGUAACAGGCCCUUCGGGGUGCUGACGAGUGACGGACGGGUAGAGUAACACGUGAGCAACCUGCCCUCAUGCCCGGGAUAACACCGCGAAAGUGGUGCUAAUACCGGAUACGCUCCUCUGGUCGCAUGGCCGGAGGAGGGAAGGGGAAACCCGCAGGAGGAGGGGCUCGCGGCCCAUUAAUGGCGCACCAAGGCGACGAUGGGUAGCCGGCCUGAGAGGGUGAACGGCCACACUGGGACUGAGAUACGGCCCAGACUCCUACGGGGCGGCAGC
Molecule: ribosomal RNA, 316 nt
Filed under: uncultured prokaryote
Description: bacterial SSU rRNA
Rfam family: Bacterial small subunit ribosomal RNA
Source: RNAcentral